This 481-nucleotide ribosomal RNA is filed under the name uncultured bacterium. RNAcentral's name for it is "bacterial SSU rRNA". It matches the Rfam family "Bacterial small subunit ribosomal RNA", at positions 1048 to 1529 of the family's 1533-position model. The record is from RNAcentral.
GUUGUCGUCAGCUCGUGUCGUGAGAUGUUGGGUUAAGUCCCGCAACGAGCGCAACCCUUAUUGUUAGUUGCUACCAUUUAGUUGAGCACUCUAGCGAGACUGCCCGGGUUAACCGGGAGGAAGGUGGGGAUGACGUCAAAUCAUCAUGCCCCUUAUGUCUAGGGCUACACACGUGCUACAAUGGCUGGUACAGAGAGAUGCUAAACCGCGAGGUGGAGCCAAACUUUAAAACCAGUCUCAGUUCGGAUUGUAGGCUGAAACUCGCCUACAUGAAGCUGGAGUUGCUAGUAAUCGCGAAUCAGAAUGUCGCGGUGAAUACGUUCCCGGGCCUUGUACACACCGCCCGUCACACCAUGAGAGUUGGCAAUACCCAAAGUUCGUGAGCUAACCCGUAAGGGAGGCAGCGACCUAAGGUAGGGUCAGCGAUUGGGGUGAAGUCGUAACAAGGUAGCCGUAGGAGAACCUGCGGUUGGAUCACCUC